UGGGGAAUUUUGGACAAUGGGCGCAAGCCUGAUCCAGCCAUGCCGCGUGCGGGAAGAAGGCCUUCGGGUUGUAAACCGCUUUUGUCAGGGAAGAAAUCUUCUGAGUUAAUACCUCGGGAGGAUGACGGUACCUGAAGAAUAAGCACCGGCUAACUACGUGCCAGCAGCCGCGGUAAUACGUAGGGUGCAAGCGUUAAUCGGAAUUACUGGGCGUAAAGCGUGCGCAGGCGGUUUUGUAAGACAGAGGUGAAAUCCCCGGGCUCAACCUGGGAACUGCCUUUGUGACUGCAAGGCUUGAGUGCGGCAGAGGGGGAUGGAAUUCCGCGUGUAGCAGUGAAAUGCGUAGAUAUGCGGAGGAACACCGAUGGCGAAGGCAAUCCCCUGGGCCUGCACUGACGCUCAUGCACGAAAGCGUGGGGAGCAAACAGGAUUAGAUACCCUGGUAGUCCACGCCCUAAACGAUGUCAACUGGUUGUUGGGAAGGUUCCUUCUCAGUAACGUAGCUAACGCGUGAAGUUGACCGCCUGGGGAGUACGGCCGCAAGGUUGAAACUUAAAUGAAUUGACGGGGUCAUAGCUGUUU
RNAcentral lists this ribosomal RNA (582 nucleotides) under uncultured bacterium. Its description in RNAcentral is "partial 16S ribosomal RNA". It matches the Rfam family "Bacterial small subunit ribosomal RNA", at positions 355 to 935 of the family's 1533-position model. The record is from RNAcentral.